CGGACGGGUGAGUAACACGUGGAUAACCUACCUAUAAGACUGGGAUAACUUCGGGAAACCGGAGCUAAUACCGGAUAAUAUAUUGAACCGCAUGGUUCAAUGGUGAAAGACGGUUUUGCUGUCACUUAUAGAUGGAUCCGCGCCGCAUUAGCUAGUUGGUAAGGUAACGGCUUACCAAGGCAACGAUGCGUAGCCGACCUGAGAGGGUGAUCGGCCACACUGGAACUGAGACACGGUCCAGACUCCUACGGGAGGCAGCAGGA
This 263-nucleotide ribosomal RNA is filed under the name uncultured Staphylococcus sp. RNAcentral's name for it is "partial 16S ribosomal RNA". It matches the Rfam family "Bacterial small subunit ribosomal RNA", at positions 99 to 354 of the family's 1533-position model. Lineage: Bacteria; Bacillati; Bacillota; Bacilli; Caryophanales; Staphylococcaceae. The record is from RNAcentral.